Molecule: ribosomal RNA, 497 nt
Filed under: uncultured bacterium
Lineage: Bacteria
Description: partial 16S ribosomal RNA
Rfam family: Bacterial small subunit ribosomal RNA
Source: RNAcentral
GAUGAACGCUGGCGGCGUGCCUAAUACAUGCAAGUCGAGCGAACAGACGAGGAGCUUGCUCCUCUGACGUUAGCGGCGGACGGGUGAGUAACACGUGGAUAACCUACCUAUAAGACUGGGAUAACUUCGGGAAACCGGAGCUAAUACCGGAUAACAUGUUGAACCGCAUGGUUCAACAGUGAAAGACGGUUUUGCUGUCACUUAUAGAUGGAUCCGCGUCGCAUUAGCUAGUUGGUAAGGUAACGGCUUACCAAGGCAACGAUGCGUAGCCGACCUGAGAGGGUGAUCGGCCACACUGGAACUGAGACACGGUCCAGACUCCUACGGGAGGCAGCAGUAGGGAAUCUUCCGCAAUGGGCGAAAGCCUGACGGAGCAACGCCGCGUGAGUGAAGAAGGUCUUCGGAUCGUAAAACUCUGUUAUUAGGGAAGAACAAAUGUGUAAGUAACUAUGCACGUCUUGACGGUACCUAAUCAGAAAGCCACGGCUAUCUACGUG